UGGGGAAUAUUGCACAAUGGAGGGAACUCUGAUGCAGCGACGCCGCGUGAGUGAUGAAGGAAUUCGUUUCGUAAAACUCUGUUCUAUGGGAAGAAAAGGACUGUACCAUAGGAGAAAGCUCCGGCUAAAUACGUGCCAGCAGCCGCGGUAAUACGUAUGGAGCGAGCGUUGUCCGGAAUUAUUGGGCGUAAAGGGUGCGCAGGCGGCUUUACAAGUUGGAUGUGAAAUAUUGUGGCUCAACCACAAACGUGCAUCAAAAACUGCAAAGCUUGAGUUAAGGAGAGGUAAGUGGAAUUCCGGGUGUAGCGGUCGAAUGCGUAGAUAUCAGGAGGAAUACCGGUGGCGAAGGCGACUUACUGGACUUAAACUGACGCUCAGGCACGAAAGCGUGGGGAGCAAACAGGA
This 405-nucleotide ribosomal RNA is filed under the name Fusobacteriota bacterium. RNAcentral describes it as "Fusobacteria bacterium partial 16S ribosomal RNA". It matches the Rfam family "Bacterial small subunit ribosomal RNA", at positions 355 to 777 of the family's 1533-position model. Lineage: Bacteria; Fusobacteriati; Fusobacteriota. The record is from RNAcentral.